Molecule: unclassified non-coding RNA, 221 nt
Filed under: soil metagenome
Description: partial contains 5.8S ribosomal RNA, internal transcribed spacer 2, and large subunit ribosomal RNA
Source: RNAcentral
AACGCACGAGACCUGCGGACCUGCGGAGGAUCAUUAAUGAGAAACUGCCCCUCGCGGGUAGAUCUCCCACCCUUUGUAAACUUACCUUUGUUGCUUUGGCAGGCCCGUCUCCGGACCGCCGGCUUCGGCUGGCCAGUGCCUGCCAGAGGAUUCUAAAACUCUGUCUGUCAGUGUUGUCUGAGUCUAUAUACAAUCGUUAAAACUUUCAACAAUGGAUCUCU